UGGAGACGUGGCAGAGUGGCCGAAUGCGGCGGUCUUGAAAACCGUUAUUCCUGGGAGGGAAUCGUGGGUUCGAAUCCUACCGUCUCCGA
RNAcentral lists this transfer RNA (89 nucleotides) under Candidatus Uabimicrobium amorphum. RNAcentral describes it as "Planctomycetes bacterium SRT547 tRNA-Ser". It matches the Rfam family "tRNA". Rfam says of the family: Transfer RNA (tRNA) molecules are approximately 80 nucleotides in length. Their secondary structure includes four short double-helical elements and three loops (D, anti-codon, and T loops). Further hydrogen bonds mediate the characteristic L-shaped molecular structure. tRNAs have two regions of fundamental functional importance: the anti-codon, which is responsible for specific mRNA codon recognition, and the 3' end, to which the tRNAs corresponding amino acid is attached (by aminoacyl-tRNA synthetases). tRNAs cope with the degeneracy of the genetic code in two manners: having more than one tRNA (with a specific anti-codon) for a particular amino acid; and 'wobble' base-pairing, i.e. permitting non-standard base-pairing at the 3rd anti-codon position. Lineage: Bacteria; Pseudomonadati; Planctomycetota; Candidatus Uabimicrobiia; Candidatus Uabimicrobiales; Candidatus Uabimicrobiaceae. RNAcentral also lists the same sequence under 1 other name. The record is from RNAcentral.